Molecule: unclassified non-coding RNA, 336 nt
Filed under: soil metagenome
Description: partial contains 5.8S ribosomal RNA, internal transcribed spacer 2, and large subunit ribosomal RNA
Rfam family: 5.8S ribosomal RNA (bases 1-120)
Source: RNAcentral
GAUGAAGAACGUAGCGAAAUGCGAUAAGUAAUGUGAAUUGCAGAAUUCAGUGAAUCAUCGAAUCUUUGAACGCACAUUGCGCCCGCCAGUAUUCUGGCGGGCAUGCCUGUUCGAGCGUCAUUUCAACCAUCAAGCCCCCGGCUUGUGUUGGGGACCUGCGGCUGCCGCAGGCCCUGAAAACCAGUGGCGGGCUCGCUGUCACACCGGGCGUAGUAGAUUUUAUCUCGCUCAGGGCGUGCUGCGGGUUCCGGCCGUUAAAAAGCCUUUUUUACCCAAGGUUGACCUCGGAUCAGGUAGGAAUACCCGCUGAACUUAAGCAUAUCAAUAAGCGGAGGA